GUGUGGCGGGAUAUCCUCCUAAACAUUUUUGAACUCCUCCGAGUUCCACUUUUAUUAUUCUCUGCAGCAAUUUCCUUCAUAGGCUAGAAAAAAAAAAUUGAGAAAUAAAAAAAUACAAAUCCCUUUUUGUAACAGAUUUCCUUUCACCUCUCCUAAAAACCUAUGAAAAUACUACAGCUUUAUUCUCAACCUUUUUCCCGACAAAGAGAAUCCAGAUGUUCCCUUUUGUUUGCCCUAAAGGGGGAAAUGCUAGUUCACCUUCCCUCCCCCCUUCCCCCCAAAUAACUCAACCCCCUUCUAGCACAUGUUGUGUAUUCAAAGCUCUAAAUGGUCUCCUGCCUUUUAUCCAGGGAAAUAAUUGCUGCAUUUUUAAACCAAUCCUGCCAGGCAGUCAGGACAAACAGUCUUUUUAGAAGUUGGCCCCAGAGUUUCCCUGUCUCCCUUGGGGCGUCUUCCAGACAACGGCAGGGGAGAGGGGACUGGACAACCCGGAGACCUGCAGCUCUCUGACAUCUGGACACUUGAGGAGGAGGAAGAUGACUUGUUGGCCAGGUGGAAAUGAACUUGAAGUCUUUCUUGAAAAAAUUGCAUUUGUCAAGGUGAUUGCCUGAAGAGUAGCUGGCAAAGGGGCACUUGGCUUGAGACAAGAUUGGAGGUCCCUGGCUGCCAACUGCUUCCUCUGGACCGCCUGAGUUCCAGUCACGGGACAUCUCUUCUCCCCCGACUCUCCCGAGGAUAACGAGUCAUUAAAGACCAUGUGUAGUUGGUGUCGCCAUGUAGAAAUAGACAAGAAUCCUCAACCCUUUAAGACAGACAUGAAAUAUAUUCAAAUUAUCAUGAAAUGGUCUUUAAAAGAGACCUCAUUCUAGCUUUUGAUUAUUUUGGAGAGUAUUUUUAAGUAGAAUGAGCAAAGCUCUCCUUAUAGACCUAAUAAAAUUUCACAUUAGUUAACUGCUGGUUUUCUACCCCUAACAUGCAUGAAAGGGGACUUGCUAUGAUCCACCCAGAACCCCCUCUACAAGCCCAUGUUCACCGUGCUUCCUGAUUCUUCUGUCACAUGAAAGAUUCGUCCACGAGCUACUCCUUUUCAAACUUCACCCAUCUGAUGUUAAGGAUGGUGAAGAUGAAUUAGAAUAGUUCUGCUGCUGGGUGGGGGUUU
This is a long non-coding RNA of Bubalus bubalis (water buffalo), 1159 nucleotides long. RefSeq lists it as uncharacterized. The record is from RefSeq and is a predicted model, not a curated record. The transcript is spliced from 3 exons. NCBI's taxonomy places the organism in Eukaryota, Metazoa, Chordata, Mammalia, Artiodactyla, Bovidae.